This 24-nucleotide non-coding RNA is filed under the name Arabidopsis thaliana (thale cress). The record is from RNAcentral. Lineage: Eukaryota; Viridiplantae; Streptophyta; Magnoliopsida; Brassicales; Brassicaceae.
CAGCUGCUUGAGUUGGAGCUUCUA